Molecule: ribosomal RNA, 253 nt
Filed under: uncultured prokaryote
Description: partial 16S ribosomal RNA
Rfam family: Bacterial small subunit ribosomal RNA
Source: RNAcentral
UACGUAGGGGGCAAGCGUUGUCCGGAAUCAUUGGGCGUAAAGCGCGUGUAGGCGGCCCGGUAAGUCCGCUGUGAAAGUCCAGGGCUCAACCCUGGAAAGCCGGUGGAUACUGUCGGGCUCGAGUCCGGAAGAGGCGAGUGGAAUUCCUGGUGUAGCGGUGAUAUGCGCAGAUGUCAGGAGGAACACCGAUGGCGAAGGCAGCUCGCUGGGACGGUACUGACGCUGAGACGCGAAAGCGUGGGGAGCAAACAGG